This 4443-nucleotide long non-coding RNA is filed under the name Heterocephalus glaber (naked mole-rat). RNAcentral's name for it is "lncRNA (ENSHGLG00000050107.1)". The record is from RNAcentral. Lineage: Eukaryota; Metazoa; Chordata; Mammalia; Rodentia; Bathyergidae.
CUGUUCCUUUUUUGCAACAUGUUUAUUGAGAAGCAACUGCGUUCCUGCCUGCCCAGAGCUCGAAGUGUUAGGGGCACCAGUCUGAUGGAGAUCCGAACAGUGUAGGACCACAGCCCGGCAAAGGGGCACUCAGCGUGGGUUUGGGAUUAAGUGAGAACCACUUACCUUUGCAGCUAGCCUCGAGCCCUGCACCCAGGACCUGAAGCUCAGGGAGGGAGGGAGGCUGUCCAACCGGCAAGGGGCCUGGGCAGAACUUCCUGAGAAGGCUCAAGAAGCCUGGUUCACCACAAUGGUCUGUGGGUGGGUGCCUGCCUUUCCUCAACAUCCUUGGACUGCCAGGUGGCACAUGCCUGUAAACCCAGCACUCAGGAGGCUGAGACAGGAGGACUACCAUGGAGUUCCAGGCCAACCUGGGGUACAUGGUUCAAGGCCAGCCUGAACUACAUAGCAAGACUGUCAACUUCAAAGGAAAAAAAGCCCCCAGACCUCAGUCUAUUUUGUCCACCUGAGAAAUGGGGCUAGGUGCUCUACUAUCUGUGACAACAAGCUGCAGAGAACAAGCAAAAGCACAGCCCUGCCUGGGAGCAGGCAGAACAGCUGCAACUGCCCCACCCACCCUGCCUGCCCGGCCAGGAGUCUGGCAGAGUCCCAGUCCCCUCUGGCCUCAGUGUUUGAUAUGGACCCAGCUCUCAUGGUGAUGGUGAGGCUGAAUCUGUAGCUAAAAAUACCCAGGAGCCCAGCCAGCUGCUCAGUGCUUCCUUGGAGGCCUCGUGGCUGGCACAGGAGCCAGACACACCUGCCCUCCCCAGGCUGCUUCCAAGUGGCAAGGUGUCCCGGGACCCUCACCACCCUCUUGCUCACAAUGGGGUCCUGGAGACAGCGAGCUGGUUCCUGCCACAAGAUCUGCUGGGCCCCAGGAAGGUCGGGGAGAUACCAGGUGGCUUUUGUGGGGCGAGCUCAUGUGUGAUUACCCUGCCACAGGGAGGCCAACGGGGACUCUGAGCCUGGAGAGAAAUGGGCAAAGUCCAGCUACCACAAGCCAGGUGGGGGCUGAUGACGCCCACUUCCGGGGCGUUGGAAACCAUAAAUCAAUUAUUUAACACCCGGCUGGUGAGAGAUAAAAACCCCAGGCCCAGGAAGGAGCCUGGACACCCAAGGGCCCGGAGGGAGGAAAUGGCGACCAGGCCACUUAUCUGCCAAGGUACCUGGCACCUGGCCGCAGGUCUCUGCAAGCCCCAGCGGCCACCAGCACUGGAGGGCAGUGACUUUCCACAGCACAAAGCACUGCCCGCACCCAGCCGCUCGCCACCUGCGGUCACAGGUACUGGGGCUGACGCAGAAGUGGAAGCCAGGAGUUCGGGCAACAAGGCAGGAUCCUAUCUUUUCAACACUUUGGAACGGCUCACAAGGUUACACCCAGUUCUCUGCUCCAGUCCCGCGGGCAGGGGUUGCUGGGGGGUCACAGGCAGCUGGAGAACGCACAGGGUAGGUGACUCCACAACGUUUGGACGCCUCUCUCCUUGGUCCGAGCAGCGGCAGCCAUCUCCACCCCCAGGGUCCUAAAUAAAGGUCAGAUUCCACGCUCAGGCUCCCACUGGAGAUGCCCGGAAGGGGCGGGGACACAGGCGGCUCUUAGUAAGGCCGCGCAGGCCACCCCCCAGGCCAGUCGGCCGCCCUUCCGCCGGCGUGGCCCUCUCUCUGCAGGCCACAGCAGCCCCGCCCCAGGAUCGGGGUGGCGGUGUACGCCCCCGCUCGGGGGGCGGAGGAGGAGGAACAGAAGGACAGAGCGCCCCGCCCUACCGGGCUCCAGGACGCCGGGGAUGCUGGGGGAGGGGACGCGACGGUCACGGGGUCGGAAGCAGGGCUGGGAGAAGCGGGAUGAGCCCUUUCUUUAGCAGAGGACAUUGGUCACUGAAGACCCAGCUGAGAGCCAACGACAGCACGCAGGCUACUUCCAACCCCGCAGCUCCGGGGCCGGGGUGCCAGCAGACGGCGGGCCCAGGGCCAGGGGAGCCCAAAAUAACCCAGACAGCUUCGGCCGGAAGGUGCCACGAGCCCGGGCUCCGGGUGAAGACACCUGGAGCUUGGGUGCUAGUGGUGGCCUCGCGUGGCUGAUCCCAAAUCAGGCCUCGGCCUCCAGCGAGACUCUAACAACAGGGAAGGAGGAGGAGCCGAGCAGCCGACUGACAGCCCCUCCCCUGCCCGAGGCCGGGCCACGUGCUGGGGGGUGGGGUGGGCGGGGAUCCGGAGACGGGGGGGGGCCUCCCCGCGCUGCCACUCCCCGCACCCGGAGCUCACGAAGGCCCAGUGGUGCGGGCCGCUUGGAGGCUGGCCGGUAAUCGCGCUUAAUCCUCCCACCACCCUCUCGGCAAGCCUCGCCACGGCCACUCUCCGGCAGAGACACCCGCCCAAGGUCACCGGCGUCCACAUUCCAACCCACGGCAGCCUGGCCCAGGUGCCCCUCGGUUGAGCACGCAGGUGCCUGCAACAAAGCCUGCCCGGCUCCCCCAGGCCACAGCUCGGCGGUCAUGCUGGUUUGGGGGGGCAGGGCGGCAGCGAGAUCGGCGCCACCUGGACCCAAAUGGCUCGGUCAAAGUAAUCGCAAACUAGGGCUCACGUGGGGACAGGGCGUAGAGAUCAAGGGCCACGCCAUCUCCAGCUGCGGAGCUUCUUGGACACGAGGAGGGGGCGAAUUACGCGAGGUCGGCUUGUGUAAGAACAAGAGCCGCACUGAGCAGGAAGCCACUGCUAUGUGCCCAGCGCCUACCUCCCAGCCCAGAGGAGCUCAGAACACAACACGGGACCUUGUUAGAAAUCCAAGUUCUCAGGUUCCACCUGCUGAAUCGAGAACUCGGGGCCAGGGGCCCUUUGCAAGAGGUGGAUUCUGAUACCGGCUCGAGACAGACUAGCCACCCCAGCUCCAUUUUGUAGAUGGGGAAGCCGGGGCUCACGAGACCCAGCAGCUUAAGCAAGGUCACAGCUGGUCAGAGGCAGCUGAGGUUUCACAGGGAAACCAGGCCACAUGCGCUUGCUCAUUUAGGGAAGCAGGAGGAAACUGGGAAUCCCGGGACAGGGAGGACAGUCAAGGAAACCUCUUUGUCCAGGAAAGCUGGCCCAGAUCUCUGGUUCUCGUGUUCUUUGCCUCUCUAGCACCCGGACAUAAGAGGGUGGUUGCUCUACAGUCACCCUAAAAUCCCCCACGGGGGCUGGAAGGCAGGGCAGCAGCACCUGGGCUUCCAGGCAGUGGCCUGUGCCUUUCAGAAGGCACCCAGAGCCAGCCCCCCCCGCCAAAAAACCCCGAUACUUGUUAGCCUGGCCUCUAGUAAGCAGCUAAAUUCGGCAGAGAAUUGCCCGCCCCAAAUGCCUGACAACAGAAGCUGGCAGGCGGAGCUGAAGUGCCCCAGCAGGCCGCCCAUUUCACACUCAGCCGCCACAUCUGUGUGGGGGAGGGGCUGCAGAACCAGCCCGGCAGGUGGGGGACACCCGCCCUCCCCUGGGCUGCAGGCCAGAGCUCCUCAGUCUCCCUCACAGCCAGGCACAGGGCUGUCACCUACCUUUGACGGGAGGAUUGUCAAACUAGGCCUGCUCCUGCUGUCCAAGGGAAGGAAGGGUUGUCCACUCCGCGGGUAACCGGUUGUUGCCCCUUCUCCAGCCAAGAACCUGGGGAAAGAAUGUGGAAGGCCUGUCAGGGCAGCCCCCAGCUUGUGGGUCAGAGACUGUGACUGUCCAAAUGCAAACCUGUCGGUAUCCUAGACAGACUCGCCAACGCCACCCCCCUUGCACAGCUGCCAAGGCGGCCCUCAGGGUGGAAUGGAUUGGGGUGGGGGGGUGAGCCACGAAGAGUUCAGCCCAGGCGAGGAGUGGCGGGAGGCGACUCAUCUGCAUUUCCAAAGGCCCGCCCCGUCAGCAUCCCCUCCCCCAGUAAGGCCGAGAUCUGAGGCGCUACCGCAGGGUCGGGGCUGGCUCGGGGAUCCCGGAGUGGGGGUGGCUGGCGGGUGGGGGAGGCCCACUCGGCUUUCCUAGGCCCCAACCCCCACCAGCAGCCCCAAGGGCUGGGAUGGAGGGGUGUGCCCUGGGCGGCCAAAUGGGGCAUCUGCGGCCACAGCGAGGCCCUCCAGGCCCCAAGUGGGAACAAAAGGGGACACCCGCCCCUGUGGCUCGGCCCUCCAGGGGCGAUCGGAAGGCGGGGCCGGUGGGCAGCGGGGGUGGGGGUGGGGUGGCCUGGGGAGCCCUUGACGAUGGCUUCCGCCUGCCAGCGAGGUCCCCGAGUCCAGGACGCCACGGUGACCAGGGUCCCCGCCUCCUCGGCCGCAGGCGGCGCGCGCCGCUCCCGAGGCCCGCGGACCCCGGAGCGGCCGGGGCAACCCCUCCCCGGGUCCCCAACGACACCCAGGAGGAAGGUGGACGAGGCGGGCCGGCGCCGUAGGCGCCGCAGCCCUGCCC